GGAUUUUGAAAUGCCGAGCAGAGUGAUGUGAUCUGCCUGCAUCCCUUAGUGGAAUGCCCUGGGCAAGAAACCGUUGAUAAAACUUGGUGGCAGAGCAUUUAUUUCAUUGUUUUAUCAGUAAAGGAGCACACAGAGAGGACCCUGGCUUUGAGGGUCCUGGUAAAUCAGGCUGUUGGGGACAAUUCUGUUGAGUACAAGGAGGAUGGAGAAGAUCAAUGGCAAGCUCAGUGGUCACAGCCAACCCCACGGAACAGAGAGGCUGCGAACUGCAUAGACAAGGAAUUCCUUCUAUAUAUGAGUCCCAAAGAGAAAGCAAGCUCCUCCUGUCAUAUCUUGGCAACUAACUGAAGUAACGAAAGGGAAAGAAAUGAUAAAAAUAAAUCAUUCCAGUUGGCAGAGCAUCACUGUAUAGUUCUCAAAGUGGUGGUUCAUCACAAAUGAGAUUAGCCCUGAGCUAACAUCCGUGCCCGUCUUCCUCUACUUUAUAUGUGGGAUGACUGCCACAGCAUGACUUGACAAGUGGUGCCAUGUCCA
Molecule: long non-coding RNA, 534 nt
Filed under: Equus asinus (donkey)
Lineage: Eukaryota; Metazoa; Chordata; Mammalia; Perissodactyla; Equidae
Description: lncRNA (ENSEASG00005026983.1)
Source: RNAcentral